AGCUUUCUCACUAAAAGUUGAUUCUACAAACCACAUACCAUGUAGAGUUGAGAGGGUGUUUUGUUGUGUAUAGUUCUGAAGUGAACAUUUUUCUUGCUUUCCUAGUUGCAGACAUGUUAACUGAUAGCAUGGCUUUUAUGAAGUAAUUCUAUUGUCGCCAUUAUCGUUAGGUUCUUAUAUGCAUUAACAAUAAGGAUCAACAGCAUGUUUGUAGUUAAUUAUUCUUUAAUGCUUGUGUUGCAAUGAAAGAA
This 251-nucleotide unclassified non-coding RNA is filed under the name Hevea brasiliensis (rubber tree). Lineage: Eukaryota; Viridiplantae; Streptophyta; Magnoliopsida; Malpighiales; Euphorbiaceae. The record is from RNAcentral.